RNAcentral lists this unclassified non-coding RNA (231 nucleotides) under plant metagenome. RNAcentral describes it as "partial contains small subunit ribosomal RNA, internal transcribed spacer 1, and 5.8S ribosomal RNA". The record is from RNAcentral.
UCUCCGUUGGUGAACCAGCGGAGGGAUCAUUACAGAGUUGCAAAACUCCCAAACCAUUGUGAACGUUACCUAUCCCGUUGCUUUGGCGGGCGGCCCGGGCCCCGCGCCCGGCGCCCCCCGGCCCCCCGUGGGCGCCCGCCGGAGGUAAACCGAACCCUUGAAUUGCAUGGCCUCUCUGAGCCUUCUGUACUGAAUAAGUCAAAACUUUCAACAACGGAUCUCUUGGUUCUG